RNAcentral lists this unclassified non-coding RNA (346 nucleotides) under Hevea brasiliensis (rubber tree). The record is from RNAcentral. Lineage: Eukaryota; Viridiplantae; Streptophyta; Magnoliopsida; Malpighiales; Euphorbiaceae.
UAAGACAUCCACGUCCAAUUUCAUCUUUGUUUACCUUAUUUCUGUGACAGGGAAAACCGUAGCAGGAGGCAGCGCAAGCACAAUCGCAGUCUUUGUAGGAAGGAGAGAGCCCAGAUUCACCUUUGAUUGAGGUCACCGGACACAAUUCAAAGGACAGUGUGGCCGUGCACGUUGCCGGAGCAAGGGAGGGAGGCAAAGUUAGAAUCGUUGAAGUCGUCUGGAGAGAGGGAGGCGAGAGGAGAUUAGAUGCUAUGAUAGCUAGGGACAGAGGCAAGGAGAGACUUGGGCUGGGGGUUAGAAUUUGCAGGGUUUAUGCCUUGUUUGGGUGGGGGUGAAGAAAGGUUAG